This 413-nucleotide unclassified non-coding RNA is filed under the name soil metagenome. Its description in RNAcentral is "partial contains 5.8S ribosomal RNA, internal transcribed spacer 2, and large subunit ribosomal RNA". The stretch from base 1 to 120 matches the Rfam family "5.8S ribosomal RNA", at positions 35 to 154 of the family's 154-position model. The record is from RNAcentral.
GAUGAAGAACGUAGCGAAAUGCGAUAAGUAAUGUGAAUUGCAGAAUUCAGUGAAUCAUCGAAUCUUUGAGCGCACCUUGCGCUCUUUGGUAUUCCGAAGAGCAUGCCUGUUUGAGUGUCAUGAAAAUAUCAACCUUGACUUGGGUUUUGUGCUCUAGUCUCGGCUUGGAAUUGGGUGCUUGCCGCUUUUACGAGCGGCUCACCUUAAAUGUAUUAGCUGGAUCUGUCUUUGAGACUUGGUUUGACUUGGCGUAAUAAGUAUUUCGCUAAGGACAUUCUUCGGAGUGGCCUCGUUUCUAGGACGCUUGUCCGCUUUCCAAUACAAGUUCCACCUCGUGGACAUGACUUUUUAUUAUCUGGCCUCAAAUCAGGUAGGACUACCCGCUGAACUUAAGCAUAUCAAUAAGCGGAGGA